CUACGGGCGGCACCAGUGGGGAAUAUUGCACAAUGGGGGAAACCCUGAUGCAGCAACGCCGCGUGAAGGAUGAAGGUUUUCGGAUUGUAAACUUCUUUAGUCGGGGACGAAGAAUGACGGUACCCGAAGAAUAAGCCACGGCUAACUACGUGCCAGCAGCCGCGGUAAUACGUAGGUGGCAAGCGUUGUCCGGAAUUACUGGGUGUAAAGGGCAUGUAGGCGGGUUUGUAAGUCAGAUGUGAAAUUCCGGGGCUCAACCCCGGCGCUGCAUCUGAAACUAUAGAUCUUGAGUGCUGGAGAGGAAAGCGGAAUUCCUAGUGUAGCGGUGAAAUGCGUAGAUAUUAGGAGGAACACCAGUGGCGAAGGCGGCUUUCUGGACAGUAACUGACGCUGAGGCGCGAAAGCGUGGGGAGCAAACAGGAUUAGAUACCCUUGUAGUC
This 440-nucleotide ribosomal RNA is filed under the name uncultured bacterium. RNAcentral's name for it is "partial 16S ribosomal RNA". It matches the Rfam family "Bacterial small subunit ribosomal RNA", at positions 339 to 795 of the family's 1533-position model. The record is from RNAcentral.